AGUUUUUCUCUUUAAAAGUAACUUUUUGAUAAAAUUGGAACGAUACAAAGAAGAUUAACAUGGCCUCUGAGCAAGGAUGACAUGCACAAAACGAGAAAUGGUCCAAAUUUUU
RNAcentral lists this small nuclear RNA (112 nucleotides) under Ricinus communis (castor bean). The record is from RNAcentral. Lineage: Eukaryota; Viridiplantae; Streptophyta; Magnoliopsida; Malpighiales; Euphorbiaceae.